UCCCUGAAAACCGGUCUCAGUUCGGAUCGCAGUCUGCAACUCGACUGCGUGAAGGUGGAGUCGCUAGUAAUCGCGGAUCAGCAACGCCGCGGUGAAUGCGUUCCCGGGCCUUGUACACACCGCCCGUCAAGUCAUGAAAGUGGGCAGCACCCGAAGACGGUGGCCUAACCCUUGUGGGGGGAGCCGUCUAAGGUGAGGCUCGUGAUUGGGACUAAGUCGUAACAAGGUAAC
RNAcentral lists this ribosomal RNA (231 nucleotides) under uncultured bacterium. RNAcentral's name for it is "partial 16S ribosomal RNA". It matches the Rfam family "Bacterial small subunit ribosomal RNA", at positions 1272 to 1500 of the family's 1533-position model. The record is from RNAcentral.